RNAcentral lists this ribosomal RNA (194 nucleotides) under Escherichia coli. RNAcentral's name for it is "partial 23S ribosomal RNA". It matches the Rfam family "Bacterial large subunit ribosomal RNA", at positions 1 to 186 of the family's 2925-position model. The record is from RNAcentral. Lineage: Bacteria; Pseudomonadati; Pseudomonadota; Gammaproteobacteria; Enterobacterales; Enterobacteriaceae.
GGGUUGUGAGGUUAAGCGACUAAGCGUACACGGUGGAUGCCCUGGCAGUCAGAGGCGAUGAAGGACGUGCUAAUCUGCGAUAAGCGUCGGUAAGGUGAUAUGAACCGUUAUAACCGGCGAUUUCCGAAUGGGGAAACCCAGUGUGAUUCGUCACACUAUCAUUAACUGAAUCCAUAGGUUAAUGAGGCGAACCG